GGGAGGCCGGGAGGGCGCGCGCGGCGGCUGCAGGAGGACGUGAGGCCCGUGAGGUCCGUGAGGCGGCGGCCGGGCGGCCGGGCGGGACGGGGGAAGCGUGAGGUUGAUUGCAGCGAUGUGGUGUCUCACAGACGCACAAAAGGGGCUAAUAGUAACAGCUCUGUGCUUUUGUGGAUGUUCUGAUUAACAAGACCUGCUGGGACAGAACAAGAGGAGGAGUGACAAAGCACGUGAACACAAGAACAAAAUAGGUCUUCAUCCUCUUAUUUAGCCAUUCUCCUUCACAAAAGGUAGUUAACCUUUUCAACUACACUGGGUAAUCAACGUGGAGUUCAUAAUAUUGACUCUUGGGGCUGACAGAAGUCCCCAGUCUUUAACACUAAAGCAAAGAUACUAACAGUUCAGCUGUAACUGUUUUCCCUGGGGAUGUUUCACCCCCCACCAUCUCCACACUUGGCUCUACUCUUGGGAAUCCUCCCCUCUCAGCCCUUAUCAUUCAUCUUCUCCGAGUGGCUGUUUAAAGCCUGCCUUUAUGGCCAGCAUCAAGUUGGGAAAUCCACUGGUGGUUUCUCCUAAAGACCCAGCACGUUACCUGCACAGGUUUAGCACCGCUCAGCUGCUGGUACUUCUGGCAACACCUAAACAGGCUGUAACAGAGUUUUGAAAAGCUUGCUCACUUACUAUGAGGAUGGCUACAAAGCAAGCCAGAGUGGUGUUCCAGUCUCCACUAGCUGUGGCAGCUGCUUUCCCGACGAGCACGCUGUAAAAAAUGAAGUCUCCGAGGCCCAGCUUCACACCCCCUGAGAGAAGUGGAACAAAGACAACAAUGUGUUACUUCUGCUCUUCUUGUUUUGCUUCCUCACGAACAAAUUCUCGUCCCCUGGGGAGCAGGUGAAGGUUACUGCUUAAAUUGUCUGCGUAGCCAAGAGAUGUCACUGACACUACAAUCCCAGAACAGAUACUGCAGCAGCAAGAAGUGAUACAGUCAGGCUUAGAUCUUUGCUGCUUAACAAGUCACUAUUCUUCCAAUUCACUGCAAUUAGGCCACAGAGGGUAACAGUGUUAACCACAAGUAAAAAUGCCAGGUGCCAACUGACUAUACGAAAAACAAGGUAUGAAGCUUCCCUUACUUUCCUCCUCCUCGAGCUCCUCGAAAGAAGUGAUGGGCCGGGUUGGGCCAGGACUCCUCGUCUCUGACCUCUGAGAGUCUGCAUGCAAAGGGCUCCUGUGGUUCUCUCUCCCAUCCUCAGCUUGGUUCCACAAGAAGAGCAGCCCCAAAAAAAGAAAUGCAAGAGUUAGCUAUAUUUAUAACUUGUUUUAAUGCAUGAAAUCCACACUUCUGUGAAGCUUCUCUGGAAUGGGUAAGCCCUUUGUUUCUGUAUUUCUUUCAUCAGGACCAGUUCAAGCAGAGACAUUUAGUGAGUUUGAGAAAAACACAUGUGCUAUUAUUUGAAACAGUUGGAAGGGUACGUGCUCAGGUAUUUCGUAACUGGUAGUAUGACAAAAAUGGAUGACUAAGAGGACUGCCAUUUAUGAGAAAAGUUCUGCCCUGAGUCACAUUAACAUCAGGCCUGGGUGUUCACACGUAGCAAAUGGACAUAUUUCGUCGUUCACAGAUUUAGGGAGGGGUUUUUUGUCCUUUAAAACACAUCUAAUAGAGACCUUGGUAGUACUUUUGGAUGCAGCCAGUCUGUGAUACAGUACUUUAUCUGAUAGUUCCUGUUUUUCAGAAGCACUCAAACUUUCCAGUUCAUGUCAGUCUGACGGGAUGCUGCCACUGCAGAUGCGAGCAGACACUGAUCUGGGGGAGACAAAGCUCCCUCAAUGGCAUUCUGUAUGCCUCAGCAUGUGCUUUGCUCCUGCUUUGUGUCCAUUUUCAAAGCAGGAUUGUGUCCCCCAUGGUUUGUUAGUAUGCCAGCUGCUUUAUCCUGAAAUAAGCGGCACGUUAAAUUGUAAGCCUUAGCAUACAUUUAUUGCCUUAACAUAAAAAGGUACUGUCAUCUCUGAAGUGCAACAGGAUCAGGUGGGAAAUCCUCCUGACACCACAAGUCGGAUUUUAUUCCAUCACCUUAGGAACUGCAGGUUAACUUGCAUUUCAAGAAGAUAAAAACAAAGGCAAAAAAAUUACCACAGGACCAACCAGAAUGUAAACUUGGAACACACCAGCCACCGUUGGGCAACUGCCCAAACAUAAGCCUUUACCCAAGAGUAAAUGUAAAGACACUGAUUUUCUUUGGCAGGGUAAGCCGUGCUGCACUUACAGCUCCGUAAAAGCAGGUCUGUUCCCUGGCAGUGGCCUGAAUGCCAUACACUGCAAUGCACUUCAGUUCACCAGCUCAUUGGCAGUGUCUUUAUGAGCCUGUGUUGUAAUUUACGAUCCCCAGCUACUAAAAAUGUAACCCCCCACUAGCCCACUCUCAGCUUUGACUUCGGUACAUCUGAAGAUGUGUGGUUUUUAGUUGGUUGCUUGGUUUUUUAAAUAAAGGCAGCCUGAAUACUGAA
This is a long non-coding RNA of Calidris pugnax (ruff), 2502 nucleotides long. RefSeq lists it as uncharacterized. NCBI's taxonomy places the organism in Eukaryota, Metazoa, Chordata, Aves, Charadriiformes, Scolopacidae. The record is from RefSeq and is a predicted model, not a curated record. The transcript has 4 exons.